AACACGUAAAGAACCUGCCCUCAGGUCUGGGAUAACCACGAGAAAUCGGGGCUAAUACCGGAUGGGUCAUCGGACCGCAUGGUCCGAGGAUGAAAGACGCUUCGGCGUCGCCUGGGGAUGGCUUUGCGGUGCAUUAGCUAGUUGGUGGGGUAAUGGCCCACCAAGGCGACGAUGCAUAGCCGACCUGAGAGGGUGAUCGGCUACACUGGGACUGAGAUACGGCCCAGACUCCUACGGGAGGCAGCAGUAGGGAAUCUUCCACAAUGGACGAAAGUCUGAUGGAGCAACGCCGCGUGAACGAUGAAGGCCUUCGGGUCGUAAAGUUCUGUUGUAAGGGAAGAACAAGUGCCGCAGGCAAUGGCGGCACCUUGACGGUACCUUGCGAGAAAGCCACGGCUAACUACGUGCCAGCAGCCGCGGUAAUACGUAGGUGGCAAGCGUUGUCCGGAAUUAUUGGGCGUAAAGCGCGCGCAGGCGGCCUCUUAAGUCUGAUGUGAAAGCCCCCGGCUCAACCGGGGAGGGCCAUUGGAAACUGGGAGGCUUGAGUAUAGGAGAGAAGAGUGGAAUUCCACGUGUAGCGGUGAAAUGCGUAGAGAUGUGGAGG
Molecule: ribosomal RNA, 604 nt
Filed under: uncultured bacterium
Lineage: Bacteria
Description: bacterial SSU rRNA
Rfam family: Bacterial small subunit ribosomal RNA
Source: RNAcentral